CAGGAGGCAAUAAACAGAACAGGAAGCAGCCAUGGACACACUUGGCCUGGAGCUGGCCAUGGAGGCUGACGGUGGUGCACAGGGAGGACAGCGGACUGUCAGCUCUCAGCCUCGUGUCCCGGCAAAGCCCACCUGCCUUUCCAAGCCACUCAGCUGGGAGGGAACUCAAAACUCGCCAAGGCCGCUCCUGACCUCAUUGUGGCUGCUUGUGCAGGGAAAUAACUGGAGGUGGUACAAUUUCAAAAAUGUCACUUUUUCAAAACCACAAAGCAUAAUAGUAGGUAUGCUUGGUGGGCAGCUUGCCUCUCCUGAACUCCCAGACAGAUGGGACACCUGAGCCCUGGUUCCCACUAGCUGAAAGAAAUACCACAUUAGCUGGGGCAAGGCUGGUAGAGCAGUUGCCUCACAGUCUUCAGGCCCUGAAUUCAGCCACCAGCAAUGGGGGGAAAAAA
Long non-coding RNA from Octodon degus (degu), 452 nucleotides. RefSeq lists it as uncharacterized. The record is from RefSeq and is a predicted model, not a curated record. NCBI's taxonomy places the organism in Eukaryota, Metazoa, Chordata, Mammalia, Rodentia, Octodontidae. The transcript is spliced from 4 exons.